This 953-nucleotide ribosomal RNA is filed under the name Bacillus cereus. RNAcentral describes it as "bacterial SSU rRNA". It matches the Rfam family "Bacterial small subunit ribosomal RNA", at positions 1 to 947 of the family's 1533-position model. The record is from RNAcentral. Lineage: Bacteria; Bacillati; Bacillota; Bacilli; Caryophanales; Bacillaceae.
CCCAAAGAUGCCGUAGGAGCUUGAUCCUGGCUCAGCUAGGUCGUAACAGGGUGAGCCUGUAGAGUUUGAUCCUGGCUCGGUGAUCAACACGUGGGUAACCUGCCCAUAAGACUGGGAUAACUCCGGGAAACCGGGGCUAAUACCGGAUAACAUUUUGAACCGCAUGGUUCGAAAUUGAAAGGGGCCUUCCGCUGUGACUUAUGGAUGUGCCCGUGUCGCAUUAUCUAGUUGUGGAGGGAACGGCUCACCAAGGCGACGAUGCGUAUCCCACCUGAGAGGGUGAUCGGCCACACUGGGACUGAGACACGCCCCCCACUCCUACAGGAGGCACCACUAUAGAAUCUUCCCCACUGGACAAAAGUCUGACGGAGCAACGCCGCGUGAGUGAUGAAGGCUUUCGGGUCGUAAAACUCUGUUGUUAGGGAAGAACAAGUGCUAGUUGAAUAAGCUGGCACCUUGACGGUACCUAACCAGAAAGCCACGGCUAACUACGUGCCAGCAGCCGCGGUAAUACGUAGGUGGCAAGCGUUAUCCGGAAUUAUUGGGCGUAAAGCGCGCGCAGGUGGUUUCUUAAGUCUGAUGUGAAAGCCCACGGCUCAACCGUGGAGGGUCAUUGGAAACUGGGAGACUUGAGUGCAGAAGAGGAAAGUGGAAUUCCAUGUGUAGCGGUGAAAUGCGUAGAGAUAUGGAAUCAUCACCCCUUUCGUCGGGGCUUUCUGGUCUGUAACUGACACUGAGGCGCGGAAAGCGUGGACUGAGUCCGAUGGAGCAAACAGGAUUAGCAUCACUCUCUGGUAGUCCACGCCGUAAACGAUGAGUGCUAAGUGUUAGAGGGUUUCCGCCCUUUAGUGCUGAAGUUAACGCAUUAAGCACUCCGCCUGGGGAGUACGGCCGCAAGGCUGAAACUCAAAGGAAUUGACGGGGGCCCGCACAAGCGGUGGAGCAUGUGGUUU